AGCUUUGCACAGUGGCAGUAUCGUAGCCAAUGAGGUUUAUCCGAGGCACGAUUAUUGCUAAUUGAAAAAAAAAGAUAAAUAAAAAUAAAAUAAGUUAUCAAUAAAUGUUUGUUGAAUUGAAUUAUU
RNAcentral lists this small nuclear RNA (126 nucleotides) under Zalophus californianus (California sea lion). RNAcentral's name for it is "U4 spliceosomal RNA (ENSZCAG00015019463.1)". It matches the Rfam family "U4 spliceosomal RNA". Rfam says of the family: U4 small nuclear RNA (U4 snRNA) is a component of the major U2-dependent spliceosome. Lineage: Eukaryota; Metazoa; Chordata; Mammalia; Carnivora; Otariidae. The record is from RNAcentral.